Molecule: ribosomal RNA, 325 nt
Filed under: uncultured eukaryote
Lineage: Eukaryota
Description: partial 18S ribosomal RNA
Rfam family: Eukaryotic small subunit ribosomal RNA
Source: RNAcentral
CCCUUAGAUGUCCUGGGCCGCACGCGCGCUCCACUGAUGCAUUCAACGAGUUUUACCUUGGCCGAGAGGCCUGGGCAAUCUUUUAAACCUGCAUCGUGAUAGGGAUAGAUUAUUGCAAUUUUUAAUCUUGAACGAGGAAUUCCUAGUAAACGCAAAUCAUCAAUUUGCAUUGAUUACGUCCCUGCCCUUUGUACACACCGCCCGUCGCACCUACCGAUUGAAUGGUCCGGUGAAGCCUCGGGAUUGUGGCCAGUUCACUUUAUUGGGAGUUGGCUGUGAGAACUUGUCUAAACCUUAUCAUUUAGAGGAAGGUGAAGUCGUAACA